CCCGCACGCCGGAAGACCAAGGGUUCCUGUCCAACGUUAAUCGGGGCAGGGUGAGUCGACCCCUAAGGCGAGGCAGAAAUGCGUAGUCGAUGGGAAACAGGUUAAUAUUCCUGUACUGGUGAUAAUUGCGAUGGGGGGACGGAGAAGGCUAGGCUGGCCGGGCGACGGUUGUCCCGGUUUAAGGAUGUAGGCAGGUGAAUUAGGCAAAUCCGGUUCACUAUAUGCUGAGGUCUGAUGACGAGUCACUACGGUGGCGAAGUAGCUCAUGCCCCGCUUCCAGGAAAAGCCUCUAAGCUCUAGAUUAUCAUUAAUCGUACCCCAAACCGACACAGGUGGUCAGGUAGAGAAUACUCAGGCGCUUGAGAGAACUCGGGUGAAGGAACUAGGCAAAAUGGUGCCGUAACUUCGGGAGAAGGCACGCUGGCGCUAGGUGAAGUCCCUCGCGGAUGGAGCUGAAGCCAGUCGCAGAUACCAGCUGGCUGCAACUGUUUAUUAAAAACACAGCACUGUGCAAACACGAAAGUGGACGUAUACGGUGUGACGCCUGCCCGGUGCUGGAAGGUUAAUUGAUGGGGUUAUCCGUAAGGAGAAGCUCUUGAUCGAAGCCCCAGUAAACGGCGGCCGUAACUAUAACGGUCCUAAGGUAGCGAAAUUCCUUGUCGGGUAAGUUCCGACCUGCACGAAUGGCGUAAUGAUGGCCAGGCUGUCUCCACCCGAGACUCAGUGAAAUUGAACUCGCUGUGAAGAUGCAGUGUACCCGCGGCAAGACGGAAAGACCCCGUGAACCUUUACUAUAGCUUGACACUGAACAUUGAGCCUUGAUGUGUAGGAUAGGUGGGAGGCUUUGAAGUGUGGACGCCAGUCUGCAUGGAGCCAACCUUGAAAUACCACCCUUUAAUGUUUGAUGUUCUAACGUGGCCCCAUCAUCUGGGGUGCGGACAGUGUCUGGUGGGUAGUUUGACUGGGGCGGUCUCCUCCCAAAGAGUAACGGAGGAGCACGAAGGUUGGCUAAGCAUGGUCGGACAUCAUGCGGUUAGUGCAAAGGCAUAAGCCAGCUUGACUGCGAGAGUGACGGCUCGAGCAGGUACGAAAGUAGGUCUUAGUGAUCCGGUGGUUCUGAAUGGAAGGGCCAUCGCUCAACGGAUAAAAGGUACUCCGGGGAUAACAGGCUGAUACCGCCCAAGAGUUCAUAUCGACGGCGGUGUUUGGCACCUCGAUGUCGGCUCAUCACAUCCUGGGGCUGAAGUAGGUCCCAAGGGUAUGGCUGUUCGCCAUUUAAAGUGGUACGCGAGCUGGGUUUAGAACGUCGUGAGACAGUUCGGUCCCUAUCUGCCGUGGGCGUUGGAAGAUUGAAAGGGGCUGCUCCUAGUACGAGAGGACCGGAGUGGACGCACCACUGGUGUUCGGGUUGUCAUGCCAAUGGCACUGCCCGGUAGCUAAGUGCGGAAGAGAUAACCGCUGAAAGCAUCUAAGCGGGAAACUUGCCUUGAGAUGAGUCUUCCCUGACUCUUUAAGGGUCCUAAAGGAACGUUUAAGACUAAGACGUUGAUAGGCUGGGUGUGUAAGCGUAGCGAUACGUUGAGCUAACCAGUACUAAUGAACCGUGAGGCUUAACCUGACAACACCGAAGGUGUUUUAG
RNAcentral lists this ribosomal RNA (1639 nucleotides) under Providencia sp. wls1949. RNAcentral describes it as "partial 23S ribosomal RNA". It matches the Rfam family "Bacterial large subunit ribosomal RNA", at positions 1329 to 2925 of the family's 2925-position model. RNAcentral also lists the same sequence under 1 other name. Lineage: Bacteria; Pseudomonadati; Pseudomonadota; Gammaproteobacteria; Enterobacterales; Morganellaceae. The record is from RNAcentral.